RNAcentral lists this ribosomal RNA (669 nucleotides) under uncultured bacterium. Its description in RNAcentral is "bacterial SSU rRNA". It matches the Rfam family "Bacterial small subunit ribosomal RNA", at positions 140 to 807 of the family's 1533-position model. The record is from RNAcentral.
GGGACAACCCGCCGAAAGGCGGGCUAAACCCGCGUACAUGCCACCGGGGCAUCCCGGAGGCAGGAAAGGCUUCGGCCGGACAGGGAUGGGCAUGCGGCGCAUUAGGCAGUAGGCGGGGUAACGGCCCACCUAACCGACGAUGCGUAGGGGUUCUGAGAGGAAGGUCCCCCACACUGGUACUGAGACACGGACCAGACUCCUACGGGAGGCAGCAGUGAGGAAUAUUGGUCAAUGGUCGGGAGACUGAACCAGCCAAGCCGCGUGAGGGAGGAGGGUACAGAGUAUCGUAAACCUCUUUUGUCAGGGAACAAAGACUGGGACGCGUCCCCGGAUGAGUGUACCUGAAGAAAAAGCAUCGGCUAACUCCGUGCCAGCAGCCGCGGUAAUACGGAGGAUGCGAGCGUUAUCCGGAUUUAUUGGGUUUAAAGGGUGCGCAGGCGGUCUGUUAAGUCAGCGGUCAAAGCCCGGGGCUCAACCCCGGCCCGCCGUUGAAACUGGCAGUCUCGAGUUGGAGAGAAGUAUGCGGAAUGCGCGGUGUAGCGGUGAAAUGCAUAGAUAUCGCGCAGAACUCCGAUUGCGAAGGCAGCAUGCCGGCUCCACACUGACGCUGAGGCACGAAAGCGUGGGUAUCGAACAGGAUUAGAUACCCUGGUAGUCCACGCAGUAAAC